UUUCUGAAUCUGAAAUGUGCUGCAGCUUGUGUCAUCAAUUCCUUACGUGAUCAAAGCCACGCACACGUCUCCGAGCACGAGGAGAGUGAGCGACCUUGAGUUCCUUCUGGAGCAGUCUACCAUCUGCAAAGUGACUGGAGAAGCCGUGUCCGAGUUCACCAAAGAUCCUGCUGAUAACAGCACCAACUUUUGCAGCCUCCAGAACCUGAUGUCAGGAAGUAAACUGGUCGAUGCUGAGGGAUACAAAGAGUUUAGCAACAAGUGGAUCUGUCCUGGGUUUGAUACGGCCAACUGCACCUUAUAACGUACAUCUUCCUGACUCCAAAUGUCACUUCAUAUGCAGAAUUAACAGCUCUGAAAGGAUUGGUUCUUAAGAGUGUAUUUUGCUUUCCCUUUUGUUCCCAUGUGCAUCAUUGUUUUUUUUAUUCAAGUGUUAUCCUUUUCUUAUAACAUGCAUUAAAAAAAUAUUCAACUCAACUGUAUUUUCUCCGA
Long non-coding RNA from Thunnus maccoyii (southern bluefin tuna), 492 nucleotides. RefSeq lists it as uncharacterized. The record is from RefSeq and is a predicted model, not a curated record. The transcript has 3 exons. Lineage: Eukaryota; Metazoa; Chordata; Actinopteri; Scombriformes; Scombridae.